GCCGGGCGCCAUGGCACAUGCCUGUAGUCCCAGCUACUAGGGAGGCUGAGGCUGGAGGAUCACUUGAGUGCAGGAGUUCUGGGCUUUAGUGCGCUAUGCCGAUCGGGUGUCCACACUAAGUUCGGCAUCAAUAUGGUGACCUCCCAGGAGCAGGGGACCACCAGGUUGCCUAAGUAGAAGUGAACCGGCCCGGAUCCGAAACAGAGCCAGUCAAAACUCCUAUGCUGAUCAGUAGUGGGAUCUUGCCUAUGAAUAGCCACUGCACUCCAGCCUGGGCAACAUAGAGAGAUCCCGUCUCU
Molecule: signal recognition particle RNA, 299 nt
Filed under: Aotus nancymaae (Ma's night monkey)
Lineage: Eukaryota; Metazoa; Chordata; Mammalia; Primates; Aotidae
Description: Metazoan signal recognition particle RNA (ENSANAG00000007779.1)
Rfam family: Metazoan signal recognition particle RNA
About the family: The signal recognition particle (SRP) is a universally conserved ribonucleoprotein. It is involved in the co-translational targeting of proteins to membranes.
Source: RNAcentral